This 499-nucleotide ribosomal RNA is filed under the name uncultured bacterium. Its description in RNAcentral is "bacterial SSU rRNA". It matches the Rfam family "Bacterial small subunit ribosomal RNA", at positions 791 to 1296 of the family's 1533-position model. The record is from RNAcentral.
UAGUCUACGCCGUAAACGAUGGAUACUAGUUGUUUGGCCUUCGGGCUGAGUGACUAAGCGAAAGUAAUAAGUGUCCCACCUGGGGAGUACGAUCGCAAGAUUGAAACUCAAAGGAAUUGACGGGGGCCCGCACAAGCGGUGGAGCAUGUGGUUUAAUUCGAUGAUACGCGAGGAACCUUACCAGGGCUUAAAUGUGGUCUGACAGGGCAAGAGAUUGCUUUUUCUUCGGACAGAUCACAAGGUGCUGCAUGGUUGUCGUCAGCUCGUGCCGUGAGGUGUCAGGUUAAGUCCUAUAACGAGCGCAACCCCUAUCGUUAGUUGCUAACAAGUAAUGUUGAGGACUCUAGCGAGACUGCCGGUGCAAACCGCGAGGAAGGUGGGGAUGACGUCAAAUCAUCACGGCCCUUACGUCCUGGGCUACACACGUGCUACAAUGGUAUGGACAAUGAGCAGCCACUAUGCGAAUAGGAGCGAAUCUAUAAACUAUAUCACAGUUCGG